Molecule: long non-coding RNA, 2538 nt
Organism: Carya illinoinensis
Lineage: Eukaryota; Viridiplantae; Streptophyta; Magnoliopsida; Fagales; Juglandaceae
Exons: 3
Source: RefSeq, a predicted model, not a curated record
UAAGGUAUAAACUAACCGUCGAUCGAAAUCUUUUUCCGAAACAUAGCUGUGUUUGGUUCUGGAUAAAUCUGAGGGAAAGAAAAAAGAGGACUUUAAACAAAGAUAAGCUUAAUUGGGGGGUUUCGUUACUUCCGUAUGCUCAAGAUUCUAAUCUCUUCUCCUUUCUCACAUUUUUAUCGGCAACCAAUGACAACCAAAUCACAAUCCCGAGCCCUAGACUUCCUAUGUCCUUAAUCAACUCUGUAAAGCGACCAAUGCAAUACUCUCAAUGAGGAUCACAAACCAUUUAGCAUGUUGGCAGGGAGAAGAAAAAUGUUUCAUUGGGAUUUGAAAAUUGAGAUUUUUGAAGUCCAUGUGGUGGAUCAAAGGUGCUCCUUCGAAUUUGGGAGGGUCUACUUUCUAGUAAGUUUGGUAUUGAGUUCAAGACUCUGGAUGUUCUAGUUGCAUGCUGUUUGUUUUUUAUUCAUUUAAAUUUUGCACUCCCUGAGCAUUCUGAUUUAUCAUAGGCUGCCUUCAACACUUGAAGAAUCACAAGAGUUUUCUAUGCAUCUGCAGUUUUCUCUACUCAGUACUUACAUUAAUCUAUUUUUAUAACUGUCCAAUUUGAGUUCUUCAUUCUGCUGGCCUUUUUUCUUUCUGUUUCUUUUCCACUUAAAUUAUUGUCCCGCUGGAUAAGAAUUUUUGGAUACUUGGUAGCUGUGAAUGCUUGCAGACAUGCAUUCCAUGGUCAAAAAAAGACAGUAUACUUGUAGGUUUGCCGUUGGCAUUACCGCUACUUUGGAGAUUGCCAAAAGCAUGACAUGUUCUGCAUCAGUAGGGCAUAGGAACCAGAGUUAGUUGAGACUGGUAGUUUCUACCCCUUUUUUGUCACAUAUUUGAACUGUGAAAUUUGGCCAAUAUUUAGACUAUAUUCCAACCACCUUUAAAGAUAAUCGAGAUUCAUUUUUUAUGUCUCUUUUAUUUAUUUAUUUGAGAUGUCACGACAUUUUGCCUGAAAAAAUGAUCAAUUCUGACUGCGCUUGAGUUUGAUAACUUUUUGGUUUCGGCCUAACAUUUGGCCUGAACAAAGAUCAAUUAUGACUGCGUUUGAUUCUGAACCGAAAAUCUCCAUUAUCAACAUCUUCAUUUUGACUGUAACAGUUUAGACAUUAAAGUUGAUUGAUAUCUUAAAAUAAUAAAAUUUUCCAAAUGGAUAUUUCUGGAUGAAUUAGAAAGGUAUUCAAGCAGAAGAAUCACAUAUUGAACAAAACUCCUCCACCUGGCAGCCCUGACCGCAUGUAGGAUUUAUAGAAGAUUUUAUAUAACUGAUUGACCUCCAUUGUGAUCUAAUUAUGAAGUUAGAUGCUGUUUCUGUGAAUUGCAGCAAGUAUAAUUGGCUACAAUUCAAUAUAGCUACUGUAAUAGAGACGUCAACUUUUUCAUCUUUAUUUUUUAGAGAACCUUUUUUUUUUUUUUUGGGUUUUGGGUGUCUUCUAAUAUUCCACCGCAACUAACCUUCUGCAUGUGCACACAACAUCAACUGGAGAGAGACUAGAAUCAAAACUUAUGAAUUAGUUCAAUUACGGAGAAGGGACAAAGAGAGGUAGGAAUCUAUCUACUCUUUGAAAUUUGCUUGACCUCAGUGUAAGCAAUGGGCAUUCAUGAAUGAGUGACAUAAAAGUGUACAGACAGAUCCGUUAUCCUAGAAAAACCUCCUCCAUGAAAUUCUGUUUCAUUAUAAUCUAUUCAGUAUUGCAUGGCACUUUCUUGUAGUAGCUUUUCACCUGAUUUCCAAAACAACCAUCUCAGCUACUCUUCAACAGCUAACUGUCUCUCCAGUUUAUAUUACAAGUCUGUAGCCUUUUAAUAAGAAUGAUCUUACAAGCUUCAUGUUAAUUGUGCUAAAACAUACUGCCAUGGCAUCUCUUAUUUGACUUGAUCAUCAAGGUGACAGCAUCCUAGGGUGGAUGGUCUUUCGAUGCAUCAUGGGCCAGAUGGCUCUUUGGCAUGGCAGUUCCAUGUGGAUUGCGUGUCGUGUUGGAAUUUAUUCGUUAGCUUGGUGAUUAGGAAUUUAUAAAUAAUAUCAUGUUAUUAGUCUUAGCCUAUGCAUAUUACUAUAUCAGAAGAUGUUUGCUUACGUCGUGUUUACACACAUUAGUUAUUGUUUGGUGUAUGAUGGUUUGAAAACUAAGUAAGAACUGUUGGAGCAGGACGAUGUUUUUGCGGGACAGAGGUUUUAAAACUAGUGACUGGCACCAUCUUAUCAAAUUGAAUCUUUGUGAAUAAAAUAAUAAAUGAUGAAACUUCUAAAUGUAAACUUAGCCAUGUCUGUCUUGGGAAAUUUGAGAGGAUAUAUUUUCCUGAAUUCUGCAUAUAAGCAAUGAAAGUAGCAUGUAUAUCGUUUCUUGGCAAAAAGGUUUUGCUAUAAAGAUAGAUAAAAGAUCAAGUGAACUGUUGAAGAAAAAGGGUUAUAAUGUACUGUGAUUUUUUAUGAGAUGAAAUGUAUAUGAACCGGGGAAGAGAAUAAAAUAGAACUUUGGAGUCAUAGCCAUUGAAGUA